AGCCAAUAGAUACCCUGGUAGUCCACGCCCUAAACGAUGUCUACUAGUUGUUGGUGGAGUAAAUCCAUGAGUAAACGCAGCUAACGCGUGAAGUAGACCGCCUGGGGAGUACGGUCGCAAGAUUAAACUCAAAGGAAUUGACGGGGGCCCGCACAAGCGGUGGAUUAUGUGGAUUAAUUCGAUGCAACGCGAAAACCUUACCUGGCCUUGACAUGCCACUAACGAAGCAGAGAUGCAUUAGGUGCCCGUAAGGGAAAGUGGACACAGGUGCUGCAUGGCUGUCGUCAGCUCGUGUCGUGAGAUGUUGGGUUAAGUCCCGCAACGAGCGCAACCCUUGCCAUUAAUUGCCAUCAUUUAGUUGGGCACUUUAAU
RNAcentral lists this ribosomal RNA (372 nucleotides) under uncultured bacterium. RNAcentral describes it as "bacterial SSU rRNA". It matches the Rfam family "Bacterial small subunit ribosomal RNA", at positions 774 to 1144 of the family's 1533-position model. The record is from RNAcentral.